UGCUUUCCAUUUUUAGCUUAUUGGGUAAUUGAACUUAAUUGAUGUUGAGUAUCCGUACUGUUUAUUACUGAAACCAUUUACACAGACAGAAGAAAACUAUAUAAUCAGAGAAAAUAUAGACAGUAGAUGAGCUUUAUCAACAUUAAAGUUUGAGGUCUGGCAAAUUAAGGACGUUAGCUUUUGAGUAGACAGUACCUUUGAUAAUAUCCUAUUACUUAUGGGGCUAAGAGGUGGAAAUUGCUGCUGGGAGGUAAGUUACUGAGAAAUAGCUUAGAAUGAAUACGAGUCCAGGCUGCACGAGCUAUUGCAUAAAAGCAUAUUGCUUCUAUGAAUAAUUAUGCCUUUAGAUGUGUGUAUUGUUCUUCAUGGUGCAGAAAGUUUAGAUGAGAAUCAUAGACAACAUUUAAAGUCAUGAGACUCCUCGAGAUCCCGGAGAUAAUAUAUUUGCAUGGAA
RNAcentral lists this unclassified non-coding RNA (454 nucleotides) under Hevea brasiliensis (rubber tree). The record is from RNAcentral. Lineage: Eukaryota; Viridiplantae; Streptophyta; Magnoliopsida; Malpighiales; Euphorbiaceae.